RNAcentral lists this ribosomal RNA (253 nucleotides) under uncultured bacterium. RNAcentral's name for it is "partial 16S ribosomal RNA". It matches the Rfam family "Bacterial small subunit ribosomal RNA", at positions 524 to 776 of the family's 1533-position model. The record is from RNAcentral.
UACGUAGGGUCCGAGCGUUGUCCGGAAUUAUUGGGCGUAAAGGGCUCGUAGGCGGUUUGUCGCGUCGGGAGUGAAAUCAUCUGGCUUAACUGGGUGCUUGCUUUCGAUACGGGCAGACUAGAGGUAUGCAGGGGAGAACGGAAUUCCUGGUGUAGCGGUGAAAUGCGCAGAUAUCAGGAGGAACACCGGUGGCGAAGGCGGUUCUCUGGGCAUGAUCUGACGCUGAGGAGCGAAAGUGUGGGGAGCGAACAGG